This 116-nucleotide ribosomal RNA is filed under the name Plesiomonas shigelloides. RNAcentral also lists the same sequence under 4 other names. The record is from RNAcentral. Lineage: Bacteria; Pseudomonadati; Pseudomonadota; Gammaproteobacteria; Enterobacterales; Enterobacteriaceae.
CCUGGCGGCGAUAGCGCGGUGGUCCCACCUGACCCCAUGCCGAACUCAGAAGUGAAACGCCGUAGCGCCGAUGGUAGUGUGGGGUCUCCCCAUGCGAGAGUAGGGAACUGCUAGGC